RNAcentral lists this ribosomal RNA (506 nucleotides) under uncultured bacterium. RNAcentral's name for it is "partial 16S ribosomal RNA". It matches the Rfam family "Bacterial small subunit ribosomal RNA", at positions 28 to 523 of the family's 1533-position model. The record is from RNAcentral.
GACGAACGCUGGCGGCGUGCCUAAUACAUGCAAGUCGAGCGGCAGCGGAAAGUAGCUUGCUACUUUGCCGGCGAGCGGCGGACGGGUGAGUAAUGACUGGGAAACUGCCUGAUGGAGGGGGAUAACUACUGGAAACGGUAGCUAAUACCGCAUAAUGUCGCAAGACCAAAGAGGGGGACCUUCGGGCCUCUUGCCAUCAGAUGUGCCCAGAUGGGAUUAGCUAGUAGGUGGGGUAACGGCUCACCUAGGCGACGAUCCCUAGCUGGUCUGAGAGGAUACCCAGCCACACGGGAACUGAGACACGGUCCAGACUCCUACGGGAGGCAGCAGUGGGUAAUAUUGCACAAUGGGCGCAAGCCUGGUGCAGCCAUGCCGGUUGUAAGAAGAAGGCCUUCGUGUUGUAAAGUACUUUCAGCGGGGAGGAAGGUGCUGAGGUUAAUAACCUCAGCAAUUGACGUUACCCGCAGAAGAAGCACCGGCUAACUCCGUGCCAGCCGCCGCCGUAA